RNAcentral lists this long non-coding RNA (4520 nucleotides) under Chlamydomonas reinhardtii. RNAcentral describes it as "long non-coding RNA (CREI_LNC000130)". The record is from RNAcentral. Lineage: Eukaryota; Viridiplantae; Chlorophyta; Chlorophyceae; Chlamydomonadales; Chlamydomonadaceae.
CUGCCGGCACUGCAUUCCACCGGCACGAGCGUGUGUAGCCUAGGGUUUUGUGUCGCGUGUGUGACUGCGUGUGGACUUGAGCAGCUAAGACUGCUGUGUAUCGCCUGCUUGGUGUAGGAUUAACCUUGCUUGCUAUCAGCCUGAGAGAAAGGUGCGAGUGAGAAGUUGCCGUACAGUUGGUCGGCGCACGUAGCGGGCAGUGACGCCUGUGAGCGGCACUGUCCGCUGUUACUCCAUAUUGGCUUUACGACGACUAAUGUGUAGUUCUUGUGACUCGCUGAGAGCAGACUGAUCACCUACGGGAGCGAGAACGCCAAGGCGUGUUCAGCGGCAGGCAAGACUAGCGUUUGGACCAGCUAGCAAUCGGGGGCAUGCCCAGUGAGAACCGCCGGGGUAUCUCACAACUCGGGGACUGCGACGGCAGUCCAUUGUCCCAGCAACCCGCAACUCGCGUAUUCCUCCAGCAGUGAAGCAGCGUCCUCGCCUGGCCAGCUAGGUUAUGUCUAUGCCUAGCCUGGUUUAACACAGGUGGCCAGAGUGCAUGCGCAACCCAGUAACAGCGGACAGUCUGCGCGAACCGGGGGGACCGGCUAUGACAAGGCCUCGGAUGUCGUGACGCAUAUAUCGUUUUGAUAUUGCGUGAAUCAAGUGCUUGGAUUUUUUCUGUACACUCCGGUCGCCGCUUUUGUGCUUUCGCAUGCCACAUGCCGCAGACUGCACUGACCGCUGGCGCGCUCUAACAAUUCUUUGCGGAGGGAGCAGACCCUUGGCAGAGAGUUCAGUGAGCCAGCGGUGCAGAGGCAUGGUAGUGGCCGCGGCUUGGGACGCUUUUAGGUGGCUGUCGCAACGAAUGGCAGACGGAGGACAGCCUGGGCGCGCUCAGCGUCGAUGCGGUGGCAGCAUCAGUACAGUACCAGGGGCGGUGCAGCUUGGAGAUGCAGAAGCCGCGGGCGGCCAGGCAGACGCAGCACCAACGGCACUGACCCAGGGCGCAGCGGCACCGGCAGACAGUGCCACAGCUGCAGCAAGCGGCGUCACGCCUGUGAUUGUGGCGCAGGCUGCUCUAGCUGCGACCUCUGGUGCAGCGCAGGCUACAGCAGGGGCCACGGGUGCAGCCUCAUGCGCAGCGCCAGGCUUGAUGCUGCCCUCCAGGUCCAACGUUGUGGAGCGGGCCAGGCUCGCCGUCAACGCAGCGUUUGCCAUCGACGGGCUGCAGGACAAGGAGGAUGAAGGCUGUGUCCCCACGCCAGGCCCAGGCAGCAUGGGCAUCGCCGGUAGCGACUCAGGGGUGUCGGAAUCAACGUAUGAGGAGUAUGAGGGGUAUGAGAAGUCGAUGGUUUCGACUGUCAGCCAGGUGGGCGAGUCAGAGGUGAUGCGCCAGUUACGCACCAGCGCAGAGAUGCGAGGUGCAUGGGGCGUUGACCGGGCUGACCGACGGCUGCGCGCGGGCAGCCUUGUGGCGCGGCCGUUGGCGGUGGAGGGCAUGCCUGUUACCGCCCCCAGCGCCGCGAGCCGCGGCCACAGCUCGGCCAUCGGAGCCCUCCGCCUGCAGCAGCGAUUUAACCGGAAGCGGCGCCGUCACAAGCAGCUGUCGGAGCGAGCGGCGGACCCUUUGCGAGGUUGUGGCGUCCAGCGGCUGCCCCAGCGGGGAGACAGCAACCCGGCGACGUGCGCAGGCCUGCCACCCACAGCGGGUUUACCUCAGGCUGGCGGAUCCAGGCGGCACGCCACGCCACGCCGCGUGACUGGGAAGCGCUCAUGGGGCACGUGCCGGGCGCAUCCUCCGGCCUACCGCCCAGCGCAGCGCUAGCCGCACUGCGCUCAGCCCCGCCGCCGCUGACCCUCAGCGCCGUCCUAGUAGCCGCCGUCGUCCUGCAGCACCACUACCUCGCGCCUAAUGAAUGACACACACACGCCGCCGCCUCAAGUGCUGGCACCUGCAGACGCAGGACCGGUACUGCCGCUGGGGGGGGAGUGACGACGCAGAGGAGCUGGCGCGAAUGCUGAUACAGCGGCAGCCCGGCAGCGACCUGCUGGUAUUUGCCACCAUGGUGGCGGCGCAGACUGACGCGACGGAGGCCGCGCUAGCGGCCGCCAACAGGCGGCAGCCUGACGUGUGGCUAGACGCAGAGGUGAUGGCGCUGAUUCAAGGGCUGGCGGGGCAAGCCGCAGCCUCCCGCCGCGCGGUGCGGCGGGCCAGCUCAUACAGGUGGGACGGGCAGCAACUGCUGCGGUGCCUGCCGGACGGGCGCGCCAGAGUCUGCCCACCGCCUGCAGAGCGAUUAGGAAUAGCGGAGCGCCUGCAUCUCUCGCUUGGCCACCUCGGUGUCCGGCGCACGCGGGCCCUGCUUCAGCUGGGGUACUGGUGGUUCGACAUGGGAGCCACAGCAGCUCACGUGGUGCGCAACUGCCGGGCAUGCGACCUCAGCCGCGUGACGGGAGACGCGAGGCCAGCGGAGCUGCAGCCGCUGCCGGUCAGGGGGCUCUUCUACCGCUGGGGCGUAGACCUGGCCGGGGAGCUCACGCCCACCGAGCCCGACGGCUACCGCUACUGCGUCAUCGCCAUCGAGCAUUUCAGUAAGCAUAUCGAGGUGGUGCCAAUCGUGGACAAGACCGCAGACCGCGUAGCGCGGGUGUUUGCGGACAUCAUGGCGCGCUUUGGGGCGCCAGCAGAGGUGGUGACAGACAACGGAUCGGAGUUUGAGGGCGAGUUUGCAGCGCUGCUAGAGCGCUGCUACGUGGAUCACCGACACGCCUCACCCGGGCACCCACAAGCAGAUGGCGCUGCAGAGCGCAUCGUGCGAGUGGUGAAGGACGCGCUGCGCAAGGCGUGCUACGAGUCCGCCGACCCAGCCCGCUGGGACCGGGCGCUGCCGCAUCUACUGCUCGGCUACCGGUGCUCGCCGCAGGCGGCCACGCAGUACUCGCCGUUCAGGCUGCUGCACGGAGGAGUGGAGCCCCAGGUGCCGGCAGCUGUCAGGGAGGGGUUCGCGGAGCCCCUGAGCUUUGAGGACGCAGCGGCAGCGACGGAGAGCCUGCGGGCAAGGGCGGCCUGGGUGCAGCGUCACUACCCGGAGGCCGCCGGCAACCUGCUGGUGGCUCAGCAUCGCGAUACGCGGCGCUAUGCGGCCGCGCGCGCGGCGCGCCGCCUGACAAACACGCCAGAAUUCAGCGCUGGCGACUACGUUUACAUCAAGAAGCUGAAGGUGGACAACACCCUGCAAUUCCAGUAUUACGACACAAUACUCAGGGUGAAGAGCGUGGGGCCGCUGGGUGUAGCGGUGCUCAUAGGACGGGACGGGACGCAGCAGCUGCGUCGGAGGGUGGAGCAGCUGGCGCCCUGCCACCUGGACGUGGACCCGGCGAUUGAGCCGCAGCUGUUUCGCCCCGGCAAGGACCUGGCCUGCGAAGCGUGCAGCUCGCCGGGGCAGCCGGCCAGGAUGCUGCUCUGCGACGGCUGCAACCAGGGGUGGCACACGCACUGCCUGCGGCCGCCGCUGCGGGAGGUGCCCACAGGCGCCUGGCUAUGUCCGAGGUGCCUGGCGCACUUAUCGCAGCAGCCACCGACAGAGGAGGCGACGCGCGAGUGGCCCGAGCAGCUAGGCCAGUUGCUGUUCCCCAAGGCCAGCACGCGCAGGUUGGAUGAUGAGGCCCGGCAGAUGGACGGCACGGUGGUGACUAGGCGGGUGCGGACGGGCAGGGGCAAGGGCGCGGGGGAGACGGAGCAGAAGGCCCUGCUGCAGUUCCGUGGCGCACUCUACCGGCCGCACUACUUUGCCGUGAAGUGGCCAGGCGAGGUGGAGAUGGAGUACUGGACUCUGGAGCAUGUGCGGCGCGGGCGGGCGCGCGCAUAAGGAGAGUGGAAGGACCAGCUGGGGGGACGAGGGCGUAGCUAGCGUUGGAUAGUUGCGCAGGUAUUCGGGAUGGAGGGCCCAGCUGGGGGGACGAAGCGGUAUGAAGGAUGGUAUUGUGGAUUCGGAUGACGGUGGGAGGAGCGAUCAUUCGCUAUUUGGCUUGGGUUGAGAUGUCUAAGGAUGACGUGUGUUGCGUAUUUGUGGCCUCUCUGAAGAGGACCGAACGUGGACUGACAAUUUGGACGUAUUGACCAUGCGUGCUUGCCUGUCCCUGCGUGAGCCAACCUCGGUUGCCAUGCUUGGCCUCUCUCGGUUGUGGGGGGAAAUGGCGGGACAGGUGGCGGAGACAUUCAUAACCGGCAGAAUGACACGACAGCUGUCGCGCCAUUCUGCCGGCACUGCAUUCCACCGGCACGAGCGUGUGUAGCCUAGGGUUUUGUGUCGCGUGUGUGACUGCGUGUGGACUUGAGCAGCUAAGACUGCUGUGUAUCGCCUGCUUGGUGUAGGAUUAACCUUGCUUGCUAUCAGCCUGAGAGAAAGGUGCGAGUGAGAAGUUGCCGUACAGUUGGUCGGCGCACGUAGCGGGCAGUGACGCCUGUGAGCGGCACUGUCCGCUGUUACUCCAUAUUGGCUUUACGACGACUAAUGUGUAGUUCUUGUGACUCG